AGCUUUAUAGUCAAUAUAUGAUAUUAGACUGCAAUUCUAAAGUAGGUAUUCACCUAAAGCUU
This 62-nucleotide transfer RNA is filed under the name Eurydema oleracea. RNAcentral describes it as "tRNA-Cys". The record is from RNAcentral. Lineage: Eukaryota; Metazoa; Arthropoda; Insecta; Hemiptera; Pentatomidae.